Molecule: ribosomal RNA, 492 nt
Filed under: uncultured bacterium
Lineage: Bacteria
Description: partial 16S ribosomal RNA
Rfam family: Bacterial small subunit ribosomal RNA
Source: RNAcentral
AGUGAACGCUGGCGGUAGGCCUAACACAUGCAGGUCGAACGGCAGCACAGUAAGAGCUUGCUCUUACGGGUGGCGAGUGGCGGACGGGUGAGGAAUACAUCGGAAUCUACUUUUUCGUGGGGGAUAACGUAGGGAAACUUACGCUAAUAUCGCAUACGACCUACGGGUGAAAGCAGGGGAUCUUCGGACCUUGCGCGAUUGAAUGAGCCGAUGUCGGAUUAGCUAGUUGGCGGGGUAAAGGCCCACCAAGGCGACGAUCCGUAGCUGGUCUGAGAGGAUGAUCAGCCACACGAGAACUGAGACACGGUCCAGACUCCUACGGGAGGCAGCAGUGGGGAAUAGUGGACAAUGGGCGCAAGCCUGAUCCAGCCAUACCGCGUGGGUGAAGAAGGCCUUCGGGUUGUAAAGCCCUUUUGUUGGGAAAGAAAAGCAGCAGGUUAAGACCCCGCUGUUCUGACGGUAACCAAAGAAUAAGCACCGGCUAACUUCGUG